CGGGGUGCAGCAGGCGCGAAACCUUAGCAAUGUGCGAAAGCACGACUGGGUCAGUCCGAGUGAUUCCUGAUAAAGGAGUCUUUUGCUUGUCCUAAAAGCACAGGUGAAUAAGGGGUGGGCAAGUCUGGUGUCAGCCGCCGCGGUAAUACCAGCACCUCGAGUGGUCAGGACGUUUAUUGGGCCUAAAGCAUCCGUAGCCGGCUCUGCAAGUCUUCGGUUAAAUCCACCUGCUCAACAGAUGGGCUGCUGGAGAUACUACAGAGCUAGGGAGUGGGAGAGGCAGACGGUAUUCAGUGGGUAGGGGUAAAAUCCUCUGAACCAUUGAGGACCACCAGUGGCGAAGGCGGUCUGCCAGAACACGUUCGACGGUGAGGGAUGAAAGCUGGGGGAGCAAACCGGAUUAGAUACCCGGGUAGUCCCAGCUGUAAACGAUGCAAACUCGGUGAUGCAUUGGCUUAUGGCCAAUGCAGUGCCGCAGGGAAGCCGUUAAGUUUGCCGCCUGGGAAGUACGGACGCAAGUCUGAAACUUAAAGGAAUUGGCGGGGGAGCAC
Molecule: ribosomal RNA, 551 nt
Filed under: uncultured archaeon
Lineage: Archaea
Description: bacterial SSU rRNA
Rfam family: Archaeal small subunit ribosomal RNA
Source: RNAcentral